This 1230-nucleotide long non-coding RNA is filed under the name Carassius auratus (goldfish). RNAcentral describes it as "lncRNA (ENSCARG00000061428.1)". Lineage: Eukaryota; Metazoa; Chordata; Actinopteri; Cypriniformes; Cyprinidae. The record is from RNAcentral.
CUCGGGACGGACCAUCCGUGAAUAAUCUGCUUCAUCUCUUAUGUUGGGGAUGUGAUCCUCUCUCACAUUAUGGUCUCAGCCACUCAUGUGACAAUGCCUGUCCAUCCUUUCCUGGUCCUGCUGCCCAUUCUGGGUCUCCUUGUGUUUCCAUAUUCACCCAUGCAUUUGGUAAAUGGCCUCGGGAUAGUGGAAAAACCAAAGAAUUGUUCCCUGAGUAAGUGUCCUGCAGGGGAAUUCGGUUCGAAGGCCCAGAAUGUUUCUUGUGAAAAUGCCACAAAUUUCAAAAACCCGUCAGUGGAACCAGAUGUGAACCUAAAUGGUAAUAUCUUUCCUAGGUUUACCUGCAAUUUUUUUUUUUUUUUUUUUUUAUCUCUUGUAAGAAUGUUUGUAUUUGUUUUGUUCACUAAGUUGUUAAUUUGGAAUGAUUUGUCGCACUGAUACAAAACCGUAAAGCCGAGUUCAGACUGCACGAUUUUCAAAGUAGUCGGGUCACUGUUCUUUUCACACUGCAUGACUAUCCUGGCCGGCAUUCAGUCACUGCUGUGCUCACACUGCACAAUGGAUCGGCGACAGAAGGAUUCACACUGCAUGACUUUACAAUAGGAAGAAUCGCCGACAGCUCUGUCUGGCACGCAAACUGUGUUUCACAACCAAACACACGCGAGAUGUGACAAGGAAACAACGCGAUAUCACACUUGCAAGACCGGGGUUUUCACGUGAGACUGGGAUAGCUCAGAUGAAACGUCAAACAGACACGGGUGCUCCUGCUAAAUUUAGACUAAUUUAUUUUCCAUUUCAUGGGUCCAAAUAGACAGAGAAGAAAGCUUUUUUCUGAAAUUAAGCCAUACUUGCCGAUGGUGUAGUCUAUAACUCCCCGAAUUCCCCGCUGCUCUGUAUCUUGCUCUCUCAUUGGAUGUCGUUCAUUGCCGAUGUAGUUUUCAGUCAGAACACUUUUCAGACAGCAUGAUUUUGAAUCGCCGACAGGUCCAGAUAUUUAGCAUGCCAAAUAUCUCACGGGCAUCGGCGACUCGUCUGCGAUUCUCACAGAUCGCGUCUUUGCUCCUUCACACAGCGUGAUUGUCACUCGCGUGAAUUAGCUUAGAUUUGCCUGUGAUUUCAGGCAUUUGUCGGCGAUUUUUCAAAACCUGUCGGCGAACCAAAAACGGGGCUAAAAUCGUGCAGUCUGAACGCGGCUUUACGUGCAAAGUUAUCAGAAUCUAGAAAUUAAUU